Molecule: unclassified non-coding RNA, 209 nt
Filed under: Hevea brasiliensis (rubber tree)
Lineage: Eukaryota; Viridiplantae; Streptophyta; Magnoliopsida; Malpighiales; Euphorbiaceae
Source: RNAcentral
UUUGGGGAGAGGCUCUCCAGCAGCUCCGAGUGCUGCCCCGCCAAGCUCUGAAGCUUGUCCUUGAGAGCAUUGACGAGGUCGGCUCUAUCCUCGGCGGUCAGAGCUGGUGAGUCGGAGGGGAGGGCGGAGCCAAGAUCGGAGAGAUCGAGGGUGCCUUUCUCGUUGCUCAUGGCGGCGGCUGAUUUUCACGCUGAGAGAGGAGAGAGAAG